UAGUCCACGCCGUAAACGAUGUUAACUCGCUGUUGGCGAUAUACUGUCAGCGGCCAAGCGAAAGCGUUAAGUUAACCACCUGGGGAGUACGCCCGCAAGGGUGAAACUCAAAGGAAUUGACGGGGGCCCGCACAAGCGGUGGAGCAUGUGGCUUAAUUCGAUGCAACGCGAAGAACCUUACCUGGGCUUGACAUACUAACCCUCCUUUGGAGGGGUGUUAGCGAAAGCUACUUUAAAGAUACAGGUGCUGCAUGGCUGUCGUCAGCUCGUGCCGUGAGGUGUUGGGUUAAGUCCCGCAACGAGCGCAACCCUUGUCGUUAGUUGCCAUCAGACAGUGAUGUGCUGGGCACUCUAACGAGACUGCCGGUGAUAAGCCGGAGGAAGGUGGGGAUGACGUCAAGUCAGUAUGGUCCUUAUGCCCAGGGCUGCACACGUGCUACAAUGGACAGUACAAUGGGUCGCCAAACCGCGAGGUGGAGCCAAUCCCCAAAACUGUCCCCAGUUCGGAUUG
Molecule: ribosomal RNA, 511 nt
Filed under: uncultured bacterium
Lineage: Bacteria
Description: bacterial SSU rRNA
Rfam family: Bacterial small subunit ribosomal RNA
Source: RNAcentral